This 253-nucleotide ribosomal RNA is filed under the name uncultured bacterium. RNAcentral describes it as "partial 16S ribosomal RNA". It matches the Rfam family "Bacterial small subunit ribosomal RNA", at positions 524 to 776 of the family's 1533-position model. The record is from RNAcentral.
UACGGAGGGGGCGAGCGUUAUUCGGAAUCAUUGGGCGUAAAGGGCGCGUAGGCGGCCCGAUAAGUCAAAGGUGAAAUCCCUCGGCUCAACUGAGGAACUGCCUUUGAAACUGUCGGGCUUGAGGCCGGGAGGGGGUAGCGGAAUUCCCAGUGUAGCGGUGAAAUGCGUAGAUAUUGGGAGGAACACCGGUGGCGAAGGCGGCAUCCUGGACCAACACUGACGCUGAUGAGCGAAAGCCAGGGGAGCAAACGGG